UUCACAAUCAGCAAAUUAAAACCGGAACAAAAAGCAUCAAAAAGAAUCAAAAAUCAGCAAAAAUCAACAAAAAUCAUCAAAUGUCUACAGAAAUACGAAAGCGCCGGCGAGAAAAGGAGGUGAAAAAAUGGACGGAAGCUGAAAUUAAAACCGUGCUGUCCUAUAUGCAGGAUCACCGAAACGUCGAGAAACCAACAGCGAGAAUCUACUACACUAAGUUGCUUGCAGUGACAAAAAUUGAAGCAACGUGGAACAUCUUAAAAUGUAAGAUUCGCUAUUUAAAAGCCAAAUAAAAUCGGCAGAACACUGGCUAAAUUCCACGGGCGUUGGAGUAGAGGAUGGCGAUGUGGAGCUGACUGUGA
This is a long non-coding RNA of Bactrocera dorsalis (oriental fruit fly), 362 nucleotides long. RefSeq lists it as uncharacterized. The record is from RefSeq and is a predicted model, not a curated record. NCBI's taxonomy places the organism in Eukaryota, Metazoa, Arthropoda, Insecta, Diptera, Tephritidae. The transcript is spliced from 3 exons.